Molecule: ribosomal RNA, 318 nt
Filed under: uncultured eukaryote
Lineage: Eukaryota
Description: partial 18S ribosomal RNA
Rfam family: Eukaryotic small subunit ribosomal RNA
Source: RNAcentral
CCCCUAGAUGUUCUGGGCCGCACGCGCGCUACACUGAACAGUUCAACAAGUCUUAACCUUGGCCGAUAGGUCUGGGUAAUCUUUGAACGCUGUUCGUGAUUGGGAUAGACCUUUGCAAUUAUGGGUCUUCAACGAGGAAUUCCUAGUAAACGCAAGUCAUCAGCUUGCAUUGAUUACGUCCCUGCCCUUUGUACACACCGCCCGUCGCUCCUACCGAUUGGGUGCUCCGGUGAAUUGUUUGGACUGCUGUCAGUCUUUUCGGCCGUCGGCGAGAAGCUCUGUGAACCUUAGCACCUAGAGGAAGGAGAAGUCGUAACA